UGAGGAAUAUUGCGCAAUGGGGGCAACCCUGACGCAGCAACGCCGCGUGAGUGAGGAAGGUUUUCGGACCGUAAAGCUCUGUCGAGCGGGAAGAAAUGCAUGGUGGCUAAUAUCCAUCAUGCUUGACGGUACCGCUAAAGGAAGCACCGGCUAACUCCGUGCCAGCAGCCGCGGUAAUACGGGGGGUGCAAGCGUUGUUCGGAAUUAUUGGGCGUAAAGAGCGUGUAGGCGGCUGAAUAAGUCAGAUGUGAAAUCCCUGGGCUUAACCCAGGACGUGCAUUUGAAACUAUUCAGCUUGGGUAGGGGAGAGGAAAGUGGAAUUCCUGGUGUAGAGGUGAAAUUCGUAGAUAUCAGGAGGAACACCGGUGGCGAAGGCGACUUUCUGGCCCUAUACUGACGCUGAGACGCGAGAGCGUGGGUAGCAAACAGGAUUAGAUACCCUGGUAGUCCACGCUGUAAACGAUGUUCACUAGGUGUUGGGGGUAUUGACCCUCUCAGUGCCGCAGCUAACGCAUUAAGUGAACCGCCUGGGGAGUACGGUCGCAAGAUUA
This 551-nucleotide ribosomal RNA is filed under the name uncultured bacterium. RNAcentral's name for it is "bacterial SSU rRNA". It matches the Rfam family "Bacterial small subunit ribosomal RNA", at positions 355 to 896 of the family's 1533-position model. The record is from RNAcentral.